RNAcentral lists this ribosomal RNA (492 nucleotides) under uncultured bacterium. Its description in RNAcentral is "partial 16S ribosomal RNA". It matches the Rfam family "Bacterial small subunit ribosomal RNA", at positions 29 to 507 of the family's 1533-position model. The record is from RNAcentral.
AGUGAACGCUGGCGGUAGGCCUAACACAUGCAAGUCGAACGGCAGCACAGUAAGAGCUUGCUCUUACGGGUGGCGAGUGGCGGACGGGUGGGGAAUACAUCGGAAUCUACUUUUUCGUGGGGGAUAACGUAGGGAAACUUACGCUAAUACCGCAUACGACCUACGGGUGAAAGCAGGGGAUCUUCGGACCUUGCGCGAUUGAAUGAGCCGAUGUCGGAUUAGCUAGUUGGCGGGGUAAAGGCCCACCAAGGCGACGAUCCGUAGCUGGUCUGAGAGGAUGAUCAGCCACACUGGAACUGAGACACGGUCCAGACUCCUACGGGAGGCAGCAGUGGGGGAUAUUGGACAAUGGGCGCAAGCCUGAUCCAGCCAUACCGCGUGGGUGAAGAAGGCCUUCGGGUUGUAAAGCCCUUUUGUUGGGAAAGAAAAGCAGCAGGUUAAUACCCCGCUGUUCUGACGGUACCCAAAGAAUAAGCACCGGCUAACUUCGUG